CGUGAGAUGUUGGGUUAAGUCCCGCAACGAGCGCAACCCUCGCCCUGUGUUGCCAGCACGUCGUGGUGGGAACUCACGGGGGACCGCCGGGGUCAACUCGGAGGAAGGUGGGGAUGACGUCAGAUCAUCAUGCCCCUUACGUCCAGGGCUUCACGCAUGCUACAAUGGCCGGUACAACGGGAUGCGACCUCGUGAGGGGGAGCGGAUCCCUUAAAACCGGUCUCAGUUCGGAUUGGAGUCUGCAACCCGACUCCAUGAAG
This 260-nucleotide ribosomal RNA is filed under the name uncultured bacterium. Its description in RNAcentral is "partial 16S ribosomal RNA". It matches the Rfam family "Bacterial small subunit ribosomal RNA", at positions 1066 to 1325 of the family's 1533-position model. The record is from RNAcentral.